This 444-nucleotide ribosomal RNA is filed under the name Clostridioides difficile. RNAcentral's name for it is "bacterial SSU rRNA". It matches the Rfam family "Bacterial small subunit ribosomal RNA", at positions 1095 to 1533 of the family's 1533-position model. Lineage: Bacteria; Bacillati; Bacillota; Clostridia; Peptostreptococcales; Peptostreptococcaceae. The record is from RNAcentral.
AGCGCAACCCUUGUCUUUAGUUGCCAUCAUUAAGUUGGGCACUCUAGAGAGACUGCCAGGGAUAACCUGGAGGAAGGUGGGGAUGACGUCAAAUCAUCAUGCCCCUUAUGCUUAGGGCUACACACGUGCUACAAUGGGUAGUACAGAGGGUUGCCAAGCCGUAAGGUGGAGCUAAUCCCUUAAAGCUACUCUCAGUUCGGAUUGUAGGCUGAAACUCGCCUACAUGAAGCUGGAGUUACUAGUAAUCGCAGAUCAGAAUGCUGCGGUGAAUGCGUUCCCGGGUCUUGUACACACCGCCCGUCACACCACGGGAGUUGGAGACGCCCGAAGCCGACUAUCUAACCUUUUGGAAGAAGUCGUCGAAGGUGGAAUCAAUAACUGGGGUGAAGUCGUAACAAGGUAGCCGUAUCGGAAGGUGCGGCUGGAUCACCUCCUUUCUAAGGA